GAUGAACGCUAGCGAUAGGCUUAACACAUGCAAGUCGAGGGGCAGCAUGGUCUUAGCUUGCUAAGACUGAUGGCGACCGGCGCACGGGUGCGUAACGCGUAUGCAACUUGCCUCACAGAGGGGGAUAACCCGUCGAAAGACGGACUAAUACCGCGUACACUCUAUUUUGGGCAUCCAAGGUAGAGGAAAUGAAAUUCGCUGUGAGAUAGGCAUGCGUCCCAUUAGCUAGUUGGUGAGGUAACGGCUCACCAAGGCGACGAUGGGUAGGGGAACUGAGAGGUUGAACCCCCACACUGGUACUGAGACACGGACCAGACUCCUACGGGAGGCAGCAGUGAGGAAUAUUGGUCAAGGGGCGAGAGCCUGAACCAGCCAAGUCGCGUGAAGGAUGACUGUCUUAUGGAUUGUAAACUUCUUUUGUAGGGGAAUAAAGAGGGGCACGUGUGCCCCAGUGAAUGUACCCUACGAAUAAGCAUCGGCUAACUCCGUG
Molecule: ribosomal RNA, 490 nt
Filed under: uncultured bacterium
Lineage: Bacteria
Description: partial 16S ribosomal RNA
Rfam family: Bacterial small subunit ribosomal RNA
Source: RNAcentral